RNAcentral lists this ribosomal RNA (503 nucleotides) under uncultured bacterium. RNAcentral describes it as "partial 16S ribosomal RNA". It matches the Rfam family "Bacterial small subunit ribosomal RNA", at positions 30 to 523 of the family's 1533-position model. The record is from RNAcentral.
AUUGAACGCUGGCGGCAGGCUUAACACAUGCAAGUCGAGCGGGGGAAGGUAGCUUGCUACCGGACCUAGCGGCGGACGGGUGAGUAAUGCUUAGGAAUCUGCCUAUUGGUGGGGGACAACAUCUCGAAAGGGAUGCUAAUACCGCAUACGUCCUACGGGAGAAAGCAGGGGAUCACUUGUGACCUUGCGCUAAUAGAUGAGCCUAAGUCGGAUUAGCUAGUUGGUGGGGUAAAGGCCUACCAAGGCGACGAUCUGUAGCGGGUCUGAGAGGAUGAUCUGCCAAACUGGGACUGAGACACGGCCCAGACUCGUACGGGAGGAAGCAGUGGGGAAUAUUGGACAAUGGGGGGAACCCUGAUCCAGCCAUGCCGCGUGUGUGAAGAAGGCCUUAUGGUUGUAAAGCACUUUAAGCGAGGAGGAGGCUCUUUUGGUUAAUACCCAAGAUGAGUGGACGUUACUCGCAGAAUAAGCACCGGCUAACUCUGUGCCAGCAGCCGCCGUAA